RNAcentral lists this unclassified non-coding RNA (216 nucleotides) under Hevea brasiliensis (rubber tree). Lineage: Eukaryota; Viridiplantae; Streptophyta; Magnoliopsida; Malpighiales; Euphorbiaceae. The record is from RNAcentral.
AUUACCAACACUUCUAAUCCCUGAAUCCUCCAGGGACUGCUCAUAUUUAACUUUCAGAGAGUUGAUGGAUGAGAACUUUUCGAACUUGACCAACUCAUCCCAGAAUGAGUCAACUAAAUACUUGAGCAGUAUUUUUAAGUUGUCCUUACGGAUGUACUCAAAAAGCUCUAGAACAGCCGAGUUCAGAAGAUUAUAGCGAUCUCCAUUAGCAACAAA